Molecule: ribosomal RNA, 301 nt
Filed under: uncultured bacterium
Lineage: Bacteria
Description: partial 16S ribosomal RNA
Rfam family: Bacterial small subunit ribosomal RNA
Source: RNAcentral
CAGCCGCCGCGGUAAUACAGAGGGUGCAAGCGUUAAUCGGAAUUACUGGGCGUAAAGCGUGCGCAGGCGGUUAUAUAAGACAGAUGUGAAAUCCCCGGGCUCAACCUGGGAACUGCAUUUGUGACUGUAUAGCUAGAGUACGGCAGAGGGGGAUGGAAUUCCGCGUGUAGCAGUGAAAUGCGUAGAUAUGCGGAGGAACACCGAUGGCGAAGGCAAUCCCCUGGGCCUGUACUGACGCUCAUGCACGAAAGCGUGGGGAGCAAACAGGAUUAGAUACCCCCGUAGUCCUUGUCUCUUAUAC